Molecule: long non-coding RNA, 1816 nt
Filed under: Malus domestica (apple)
Lineage: Eukaryota; Viridiplantae; Streptophyta; Magnoliopsida; Rosales; Rosaceae
Description: long non-coding RNA (MDOM_LNC009554)
Source: RNAcentral
GAUGCUGCUGCGGAAGUGCCUUUACGCCGGGAUUAGGUGCCUUGAUUCUAAGUCCUGAAUGGGGGCGCAAAACAAAAGGUGAGUGGACCAAGUUCAUAUAUAUAUAUAUAUAUAUAAUAAAACAAUUAUCAACAUACUAACCCCCAAAGUUUAAUAGUGAAAACUACUAGCAUAGUAAGUGAUGGAUUUAAUAAAAAUCCUAGCAUGCCAAAUAUAUCUCAAAAGUCACAUCGCGAAAACGCAUCGCGGAAAUCAAAACAGUAAACGCAUCAUAAAUCGUCUCGUAAACGCAAUGUGCCGCUAGAAAGAUCACUGAAUAAAUAUAACUCCCGGCCCAAUGCCUGCACCUCAGUCUCUGUGCCCGUAGCCAGAGAUAACUCCCUCCCGGCCCAAUGCCUGUCUCCGUGUCCCUCAGCCUUUCGCUAGGGAUUAUUUCUCCCGGCUCACAUGCCAACACCAGAUCCUCGCCCCAGGCGGCAUAGUGUCUACUAGUUACGCACAAAAUGUUACGCCUCUCGUAAAUACCACUUCAUAGUGUAGGUUACCGAUCAUCGUCUACACUAUAAAGAGGGGUUCAAAAACAUGUUCUAGCAUCCUAUCGUCAUCUAUCAGAUAGUCUACCAGUUCAUGGUUUUUAUAGAAAAUACGAUAUAUUAAAAUAUAGCUCAAUAUAGACUAACAAUUAAUUCCUCACCAAAACACGAGACGAUAAUCAAUAUAUUAAAUCAUCAGGCUUCACAUAAAUCCAAUCGUAAAUUCGUAGGCAUGCUAAUCAUUUAUGAAAUUGAAUUAUUAAAUCAUGUAAUUUUAGAAGGGGUCCACUCACAAAUAUUCCUUAGCAGCAGAGUCGCACGAAUUAGGAUUACAAAUUUCCUUAAUAGCAAUUUUACCUAAGCACAAAAAUAUAAUUAAUAAAUAAAAGGAUUUUCUAAAAUAUUGGGUUGAAUUAAAUAAAAUAGGGAAUUUGGGAUUGGAUGGGUUUAGGAUUUUAAAGGAUUUUAGGAACCUAGGCCUUAGGAUUUAAAAGGGUAUGGAAAGGGGGUGUGGGCUGAAGCCCAAACAUAUAUACUUUUAACACACACACACACACACAAGGCACAAGGCCCUCGGGCCUCACUAAAGAAAACAGGGCUUUAAGCCCUUAGGACAUAACCGGCCCUAGGCCCUUCAACAUUAAGGCCCGUGGCCUUUUGGGCUUUUAAAAACUAAAACUAAAAAUAAAAACUGAAUGGGUUAGGGUACUGGGCUAAGGCAAACGGGCUGGAGGCCCGCGAAGGAAAUGGGAGAGGCCGGUUGGCCUGUGGCUUGCCGAGGGAGAAGGCCGGAGCUGCUACAGCUCCGGUCACCUGAAAACUGGAGCUUCAAGCUCCGAUCUAGGUACGAACGUGAAGCACAAGGAGAGAGGAAGAGAUUUAUACCUUCCAAACGUCGUAACUCGGUCGGAGGUGACCGGGAAAGUCCUCGGGGUGCACGGGUUCACCGGAAAAGUGGGUGUGCUCACCCACGACCGUUCUGAAGCAAAAACCUACGUAAAAAGGUAAGGUUCAAGCUUCUAAAUCACAACCAAACCAAGAACUAGGUACGAGAGUGAGAGAUUUGAGACUUACCCGAACUGAAACAGGAAGAAGACUCGUCGGAGCUUUGCUCCGAGCCGUCUAUCUCGUCGGACAGGGGUCCCCGGGUUCGUGGGGAGUCUCUCCUGAUGGUGCUAAGGUCAUCGCGAGUCCAGGGGGAGGGAGAGAGAGGAGAGUUCGAGGGAGAGAGGGAUGCGGGAGGUUGAGGGAGAGAGGGUGAGAGAGCUACGGGGAGAGACAGA